This 474-nucleotide ribosomal RNA is filed under the name uncultured bacterium. RNAcentral describes it as "partial 16S ribosomal RNA". It matches the Rfam family "Bacterial small subunit ribosomal RNA", at positions 28 to 507 of the family's 1533-position model. The record is from RNAcentral.
GACGAACGCUGGCGGCGUGCUUAACACAUGCAAGUCGAGCGGUAAGGCUCCUUCGGGAGUACACGAGCGGCGAACGGGUGAGUAACACGUGAGUAAUCUGCCCUUCACUUCGGGAUAACCACCGGAAACGGUGGCUAAUACCGAAUACGACCAGUCUUCGCAUGAGGUGCUGGUGGAAAGUCUUUUCGGUGAAGGAUGUGCUCGCGGCCUAUCAGCUUGUUGGUGGGGUAAUGGCCUACCAAGGCUUCAACGGGUAGCCGGCCUGAGAGGGUGACCGGCCACACUGGGACUGAGACACGGCCCAGACUCCUACGGGAGGCAGCAGUGGGGAAUAUUGGACAAUGGGCGAAAGCCUGAUCCAGCAACGCCGCGUGAGGGAUGACGGCCGUCGGGUUGUAAACCUCUUUCAGUACCGACGAAGCGCCCUGUCGGGUGGUGACGGUAGGUACAGAAGAAGGACCGGCCAACUACGUG